RNAcentral lists this long non-coding RNA (462 nucleotides) under Vulpes vulpes (red fox). RNAcentral describes it as "lncRNA (ENSVVUG00000012908.1)". Lineage: Eukaryota; Metazoa; Chordata; Mammalia; Carnivora; Canidae. The record is from RNAcentral.
GGAGGCUGUUGGCCACUCGUGGUCCUACACAUGAUGGAGAUGUGAGUUUCUGUUGACCUGGUUUCCAGCCCUGGCUCUGUGACGGAUGGAUGACACUGUACGAAUUCCAACCAACAAUCUUGCAAGUAAAAUUUGGAUCCAUUCCCUUAUCAAGCUGUGGACUGCUUCUUCCCCCAGAAUGGAGUAGAGACUUGCCUUACAUCACAGGAGAAUUCACAGUGUCAGCAGGAAGUGAAACAAACAUACCCGACUUUCUUGUCUGUGCCUUACGAUUGUGUCAGGCAGCUGAACACAGUCAUUUUGGUGUGAAACCAGCAGAAGAUUUAGAGGUAGAAUUUUGUGAUUCAUCAGUCGCAUAUAACUUAAUAUUACCAAGGCUGGUUGGCCGCAGCUCCAGGUGAGUCAGUGAGCAAGCGACUCUGUUGAGUGACAGUCACUGAACCAAAGAGAAAAUGGGAUAAU